RNAcentral lists this ribosomal RNA (641 nucleotides) under Vibrio sp. RNAcentral describes it as "bacterial SSU rRNA". It matches the Rfam family "Bacterial small subunit ribosomal RNA", at positions 372 to 1006 of the family's 1533-position model. The record is from RNAcentral. Lineage: Bacteria; Pseudomonadati; Pseudomonadota; Gammaproteobacteria; Vibrionales; Vibrionaceae.
UGGGCGCAAGCCUGAUGCAGCCAUGCCGCGUGUGUGAAGAAGGCCUUCGGGGUUGUAAAGCACUUUCAGUAGUGAGGAAGGUGGUGUAGUUAAUAGCUGCAUUAUUUGACGUUAGCGACAGAAGAAGCACCGGCUAACUCCGUGCCAGCAGCCGCGGUAAUACGGAGGGUGCGAGCGUUAAUCGGAAUUACUGGGCGUAAAGCGCAUGCAGGUGGUUAGUUAAGUCAGAUGUGAAAGCCCGGGGCUCAACCUCGGAACUGCAUUUGAAACUGGCUGACUAGAGUACUGUAGAGGGGGGUAGAAUUUCAGGUGUAGCGGUGAAAUGCGUAGAGAUCUGAAGGAAUACCAGUGGCGAAGGCGGCCCCCUGGACAGAUACUGACACUCAGAUGCGAAAGCGUGGGGAGCAAACAGGAUUAGAUACCCUGGUAGUCCACGCCGUAAACGAUGUCUACUUGGAGGUUGUGGCCUUGAGCCGUGGCUUUCGGAGCUAACGCGUUAAGUAGACCGCCUGGGGAGUACGGUCGCAAGAUUAAAACUCAAAUGAAUUGACGGGGGCCCGCACAAGCGGUGGAGCAUGUGGUUUUUUCGAUGCAACGCGAAGAACCUUACCUACUCUUGACAUCCAGAGAACUAGCAGAGA